AGCGAACGCUGGCGGCAGGCCUAACACAUGCAAGUCGAACGAACCUUUCGGGGUUAGUGGCGGACGGGUGAGUAACACGUGGGAACGUGCCUUUAGGUUCGGAAUAACUCAGGGAAACUUGUGCUAAUACCGAAUGUGCCCUUCGGGGGAAAGAUUUAUCGCCUUUAGAGCGGCCCGCGUCUGAUUAGCUAGUUGGUUGAGGUAAUGGCUCACCAAGGCGGCGAUCAGUAGCUGGUCUGAGAGGAUGAUCAGCCACAUUGGGACUGAGACACGGCCCAAACUCCUACGGGAGGCAGCAGUGGGGAAUCUUGCGCAAUGGGCGAAAGCCUGACGCAGCCAUGCCGCGUGAAUGAUGAAGGUCUUAGGAUUGUAAAAUUCUUUCACCGGGGACGAUAAUGACGGUACCCGGAGAAGAAGCCCCGGCUAACUUCGUG
This 434-nucleotide ribosomal RNA is filed under the name uncultured bacterium. Its description in RNAcentral is "partial 16S ribosomal RNA". It matches the Rfam family "Bacterial small subunit ribosomal RNA", at positions 29 to 507 of the family's 1533-position model. The record is from RNAcentral.